RNAcentral lists this long non-coding RNA (2252 nucleotides) under Chrysolophus pictus (golden pheasant). Its description in RNAcentral is "lncRNA (ENSCPIG00010014577.1)". Lineage: Eukaryota; Metazoa; Chordata; Aves; Galliformes; Phasianidae. The record is from RNAcentral.
UGCUUGCUUUCAGGAAGCUGUAGCCAAUCAGAGGCUGCAACUCACAGAAAGCAUUCCUAACCACCUGAUUUCUGAAAAUAAUGCUCCGGUACUGAUCUGCUGGAAGUGCCUAACAGCUCUGUAGGUUGGCUCAAGCAGAGGAGACCUCAGUGCCCGUGGUGGCUGAACUACAGCAGUAAGGUGCUGCCAAAGCACUGUGCUGAGCGGAUCGUCGUAAAAUGGACUCCAUGCCCAAGCUGAAGAUUUUUGUGAUGUUGCUGUCUCUGGCUACUUUCACAGCCAUGGUGAUACUGAAUGCUGGAAAUGCCACUGGUCUUUUCAAAGGUCUGUUCCGGACAACCCCUGGCAACAUCUCAGAGAAGUACAGCACCGACUUCACACCGGCUGGCUGGACUUUCCUCAUCUGGAAUGUCAUCUAUGCCUGGCAACUGGCGUGGCUCCUGUAUGCACUGUCAGGGAUCUGCCGGAGAAAUGAACUUGGAUGUGUCUUCAUGAAGCCGGACCUGCUGCCAAUACCUUUUUACAUGGCAUGGAUUCUGAAUAAUGGCCUCAAUGUUGGAUGGCUCUUUCUAUGGGACAGAGAAUACCUCCUCCCAGCCCUGCUGUUGUUGGCAGCCCUCACUUUUACCACGGAUGCUGCUCUCUUCAUUUCACACAGAGCCUUGAGUAUCCAUUCCACAUGGUUCAUGAAGGGCCACCAAGCUGAUCUCUGGCUCAUCCGAAUCCUAGUGCAGAAUGGGCUGGCACUGUAUGCCACAUGGACCACCAUCGCCACUCUGCUGAACUUUGCUGUUGUGUUGAUCUACAAGUGGGAUGUGUCCAAUGAGACAGCAACCACUGCCUCUCUGAGCAUCCUCACCCUCAUGCUUGUCCUGUGGUUUUGUCAGGAGAACUUCUUUCUUGAUAAGUAUGUCCGUUAUAACCUCACGAUCUACCCAGUGGUUAUAAUAGCUCUGACUGGCAGCAUGUGCAAGGACUUCUCAGUUUCCUCCCCAACCACCAAUGGUGUUUUUAUAGUUGUACUGCUGGCACUGACUUGUUUUAUCUUUGCUGUUCGGCUGGCGUUAGUCAUAAGGAAGCACAGUAAUGAACUGCUGGAACCACCGACAUCACCACAGCCAUCAAGCACAGUGGCCUGAGACCUGUGGUAUGGUGAUGUUAUGACAGAAGCUUUAAAGGGAGGAGUAAGAGCUGAGCAUCCUUCCCUCCAGUAACAAUUGCCUUUUUUUGCCUUUUUCUCUUUUUUAAUAUAUCCUGGAUUAGCACAGCUUGUGCCUGCAAAUCUGUCCUUCUCCCCUAUUCUCUGAGCUCAGCUAUUUGCAGCUCCACCUCAAACAUGCAGCCUCCUCUGCUCAUUUUGUUUUGGAUCAGUGGAGGAAGAGGUCCUUUAUAUGAGUAGCUCUGUAUACCUUUGUGAUGACAGAACUGUGAGGAGGACUGUCAGCAGAUGCUUGGCACAGAGAGUUGCCCCUCACCCUUCCCUGCCCACCACAGCUCCCAGGAGAGGAGGGACGGCUGAAUACUUCUGCCACAGCUGCAGGUUUUUAGCCUAUUUCAGGUUGCUCUAACUCUAGAAACUGACAAUGUGCUCAUGUCUCAGCACACAGUAUUAUCUCUGUCCCUCUGCCUUGUUUUUCCUUCUGACUUUCUUACUGAAGUUUGUCACUGUGAUGGUGACUCCAUCAGUGGCCCCACAGUAACAGCAGACCUGCGCCCCCACCCACUCCUCCUUUCAGACGGGAGAUCUAGGUGAUGUGGGAGCAGUGGAUUGCUUUUCCUGAGCUGUGCCCAUUCGGUGGCUGCCUGCUGCAGGAGGGUGCUUUGCAGCCCUUCUGCUGGGAUAUCAGCCAUUCUGACACCACAGUACCUGAUGGAGGGCAAACCCUGCUUCACAGACCACUUCUUGUUUUCUGAGCUGCACAGACUGAUUUCAUCCUGGAUCAGUGCUUUGUAAUGUGGCUUCACCACUGCGGGCUUGCUUUGGGAAGCCUGAAUGAGAACUGACUGGAUUGUCAGACCUCUGCCUCUAUUUGCUGUGCCUGCUAGAUUUGAUGAUGCCUUGCUGGUGUCUGGAAAGUCCUCCUGGAUGCCUGGUGCUUGGAAAUGCUGAAUAUCUUGCAGUACUCUCACUAAGGUGAAUUCUAUUAAAAUACAAUGCUAUUGUUUACAUUUAAUGAAGAACAAAGUCUGUAUUAUUUGGUUCUCGUCAUUCUAUCGUAUCUUAUUUUUAAAUAAAGCAGCUACUGCCAACA